RNAcentral lists this ribosomal RNA (279 nucleotides) under uncultured bacterium. RNAcentral describes it as "partial 16S ribosomal RNA". It matches the Rfam family "Bacterial small subunit ribosomal RNA", at positions 506 to 784 of the family's 1533-position model. The record is from RNAcentral.
UGCCAGCCGCCGCGGUAAUACGGAGGGUGCAAGCGUUGUUCGGAAUUACUGGGCGUAAAGCGCGCGUAGGCGGUUUGUUAAGUCAGAUGUGAAAGUCCACGGCUCAACCGUGGAAGUGCAUUUGAAACUGGCAGACUUGAGUACUGGAGGGGGUGGUGGAAUUCCCGGUGUAGAGGUGAAAUUCGUAGAUAUCGGGGGGAACACCAGUGGCGAAGGCGGCCCUCUGGACGAUGACUGACGCUCAGAUGCGAAAGCGUGGGGAGCAAACAGGAUUAGAUA